Molecule: ribosomal RNA, 538 nt
Filed under: uncultured bacterium
Lineage: Bacteria
Description: bacterial SSU rRNA
Rfam family: Bacterial small subunit ribosomal RNA
Source: RNAcentral
CCCUUCAGUGCUGCAGCUAACGCAUUAAGCAUUCCGCCUGGGGAGUACGGCCGCAAGGCUGAAACUCAAAGGAAUUGACGGGGGCCCGCACAAGCGGUGGAGCAUGUGGUUUAAUUCGAAGCUACGCGAAGAACCUCACCAGGUCUUGACAUACUAUGCAAAUCUAAGAGAUUAGACGUUCCCUUCGGGGACAUGGAUACAGGUGGUGCAUGGUUGUCGUCAGCUCGUGUCGUGAGAUGUUGGGUUAAGUCCCGCAACGAGCGCAACCCUUAUUAUCAGUUGCCAGCAUUAAGUUGGGCACUCUGGUGAGGCUGCCGGUGACAAACCGGAGGAAGGUGGGGAUGACGUCAAAUCAUCAUGCCCCUUAUGACCUGGGCUACACACGUGCUACAAUGGAUGGUACAACGAGUUGCGAACUCGCGAGAGUAAGCUAAUCUCUUAAAGCCAUUCUCAGUUCGGAUUGUAGGCUGCAACUCGCCUACAUGAAGUCGGAAUCGCUAGUAAUCGCGGAUCAGCAUGCCGCGGUGAUACGUUCCCG